AGAGAAGUCUUUUCUUUCGCGUCGGCAGGGCAGAGUUGCAGCAUCACAUCUUGCAGGACAUAAAGAUUAAACUAAAGGGGUGCAAUCAUGCCGAUGUUCGUGGUGAGCACAAACGUGGCUAGAAGCGAAGUACCAGCGGCUCUGCUGUCCGAGGCCACUGAGGAGCUGGCCAAAGCGAUGGGCAAACCUGCACAGUACAUUGCUGUGCAAAUCAACCCAGACCAAAUGAUGAUGUUUGGCGGAAAGGGGGACCCCUGCGCUCUCUGCUCCCUCCACAGUAUUGGCAAGAUAAGCAGUGCUCAAAACAAACAAUACUCUAAACUUCUGUGUGGACUUCUCAACAAACACCUGGGCAUCUCUCCUGACAGGAUUUACAUUAACUUUGUAGACAUGGAUGCAGUCAAUGUGGCCUGGAACAACAGUACCUUUGGCUGAGAUGGAGGUCACACACUGAAAUAGAAGAUCAUUCCAGUAUUUUCCUACAUGUACGAGCAUAGUUAAAAAUGACAAAUCAAAGAGGCACCUUGAAAUUUAUUGGUGAAAAUACAGUAUGAUUGUCUUCAAAGCACUUAGCUGGACCCUUUAGCAUUGCACUGAUCCUUUUCCAUUAAAAUGCAAUAAAGCAAACCUUGCAGAACAUAACCAAAUCUCUGUUUUCCUGGAUUGUCUUCUAUGAAAAGAGCCUGUUUUGCUUGGAAUGGAUAUGUGUGGUACAGGUCAUGACUCUCUUCCACCUCUCUGAGCUUCUGCAUUAUGUGAGCUAUUGAAAAUAAGCUAUAGAAGAAAUAUUAAACGACAGAGAAUUCUACUUUUUACCAAAAUGAGAGUGAAAAAAAGCUGUCAGUUUUUCCUAACUGAAUGCUUAUCAACCAUUGCUUCACCACAGUGAGCCAUUUGUUUGUUGCAAACUAUUGUUUACCUGGUGUUCAUACACAUAGUGGGAGAUAUUCAUUUUAAUUCUCAACUUUAUUUGCAUGAAAAAUUUCUUUCUAUCUGAGGGGAAGCCACACUUCUUUUUUUGCCAGUGAACUGCACAAAUACAGUAUAAAAAAAAACACCCCUCACUAAUUUUGCCUAUUUUAAGAGAGACUUUUUAUCCUUAUAAUUUUGUUAUUUAUUUCAGUGGAUAUUCUUACAUUGUAAAGGUUGUUUUAAACUGGUUUAUGUUUUAAGUUUGAGUAGGUUAUCAGCAGUUGCACACACCACUUGGAAUUUCUGAACUCUGAAAAUCGCAAACACUGAAUUAUUCUUGUUAGCUGAGAAAAUAUAAUGUCUAUUCUUUGGAAAUGUCUUUUUAGUCUUCUUGACAGAGUUGAUGGUGUAUUUGGCAGUAAUAAUCCCUCUUCUAGAAGACUAUCAUAGUUUGCAUCACUUCAAUUACCUACAUUUUUAUAUAAUUUCUCACCAGGUCGGUUGCUAAGGUAACCACUCGGCACAGAAAACAUGUAGCGCAUGCGCAAAGGAAGAUGUUUGUCUAUUUCGCGAACAUUUUUACACAACAAAUAUGCAUACCAUAUAGGUAUAGUGACAGUGACGUGACACUGACGUUACCUCUACGCCUCCCUCUCUCUUGGGGAUGUUGAGUAAACAUGGCGGAUGGACACCUUGUAGUUUCUGCACGUUGACUUACCAACUAGAAAGAAAUGUAGUUGGUUUGGCAUUUAGUUAGAUUUCGGAUUAGCCGGUUAAUAGUUCAUGUUGCGACGUGUCUGCGGUCCAGAAGAAGUUAAUCAUCAUUGGCAAAGUACAGGAUUUCGCCUGGUAACGAACGCUCAGCAUUUCACAUAAGGGGGGAAGUGAUAGUAGGAAGGGAAAGGACCACUACAGCAUCACACAAGACUUUCCUCUUGAAGACAUCUGUAAGCUGCUGCCUACCAUCUUUAAAGAUGUCUGACUAUCUGACGAGAGAGUUCAGGGCCCAGCUGACCACAAGCAUGGACUCAGUUUUGAGGAGAGCUGUGUUUGAAAUAAUGAUGAUCUUUGACAACAGCCUACAUGACCACCAAAUGGAGCUGAAGCAGAAAGGAGAAGAGAUUGCUCAACUGAUAAUAAAGUUACAGAGUGCAGAGAUCAAGCUGAAAGAAAUCGAGCGUGGAGUUGACGGAGGAGUGGAGAUGAAUAAAACUCAGAUGACUGAAAUUCAGACAGAGCCUGUGAAUGCCGCUCAACAAACUUCAGAUGUUCCUGAGAUUGAUUUUGAAGUACCUGAUGACUGGUGUGCUCCAAUGGGCUGUGAGACCUCGACCAAGCAAGAUGUUACCGUGUGUCCCACCAUAAGACUGCGCAAGUUGUCCAUUCCUCUGUGUCCCAUUCCAGUCAUCAAGCAAGAGGUGGUUGACCGUGACAUUGACUCCUACCAGGAAAAAAAGGUCCUCAGGAGAUCCAAGAGAAGUUCCUCAUUAAAACAGAGCCACAAACAAACACAGGACGGACCCUCACCAAUGGAUGACAAAUUAACUUCACAUACACCAAUGAGAAACAACAUGAAGAAAUUGAUCCAAGACAUAAAACAGGAAUAUGCUGACCUAACAGGUGGCACAGGUUCUCAAAGAAGAUUGAGAAGAAGAAAAGAGGAAAGUAAAAUCUCAGCAACUGAGCCUAAAGAAAAGGAGACAGUGACAAAUGACAGUGAAAAAAGAUACGCCUGUAGGUUUUGUAAGAACGUAUUUGAUACAGAGUUUGGCAGAAGUGUGCAUGUACAAUCACACAAGAGGUGCAGUGGUCGCAAGAUCUUCCCUGUUCCAAGUGCUCUUGGAUAUCAUACAGCAUAUUGCAAAAAAAUUAAGAAAUUAAAGGCAAAAGAAGCCCGGUUCAGUAACCUUGCAAAACCUGACUCCUGUGAGGACGAAAAGCAGACUGCACCAAGCAUAAAACAGGUGAGCGUUAACAAGAAAAUCACACGUUCCUCUAGCAACAACCGUGAAUCAUCCAUACAGACAGAUGGGCCCAUCAAAAAGUACUCCUGUGAACAAUGUAACAAGGCGUUUAAUCAACGAUAUAGGCUGGCAGAGCACUCACGGGUUCAUACCGGUGAGAAGCCGUACCCUUGCAGCAUGUGCCCAAAGAAAUUCCGUGUUAGUCAGUCACGCAAAAAGCACAUUAUGAGAAUACACAAAUACCAAACGAACUCCAGUGAGAUAAAUGGAGACCUUGCAUGGACCAUGCCUUUAGAGGAGAUUGAUGAUGAUCAAAAGAAUUUGACCUCUCACAAGACAGACAAAAGUCAAGCAGUGAAACAUGAUCAGAGAGAUAGCAGUUCACACACAAGUCCAAGUUCAAGAUGGAAAUCAAUGGGCACACGCUGCUCUAAAGGUUUUGCCUGCUUACUGUGUCAGACAGUCUCAAAAAACGUAUACCUGUUGAUUGAACACUUUCGCAUCCACACUGGAGAGAAGCCCCUCAAAUGUGACAAGUGUCCUGAAGUGUUUCGUACUCGUGGACAGCUAAGCGUGCACAGGAAGAGGUGUUGUAAAACUAAGAAAGCGACCAAGUGUGCAAAGUGUGGAAAGAACUUCUCUGCACAAGAAAAGUACAGCAAGCACAUGUUCAAAUGUCACAAAGAAUGGCCUUUUCACUGCAAGGUCUGUGGAAAAGGCUUCUUCCUGAAAUGGCGCCUCAGCAACCAUAUGGAGCGUCUCCAUAAGUGAGCCAGUGAAAGUUAGCAUCGUCUGUCUCUGAAUGUUACAUGAUAAGUUUCUGUUGUUUUUUUCUAUUUUGAGAUGUAAGAUGAUAAUCAUAUAAAUCAGAUCUGUAUUCCACAUCUCUGUUGCUUGACACAUAUUUGAAAAUGUUAAAGUCAAAGUCAGACUUCUAACAUUCAGAGUUAUGUUAUUUCAUCUGAAGCUUGAGUCGUAAAAAGACAGAACAAAGGUGAACAUAUUUUAUGGUUCCAAAGUUUAUUUUAUUUCGAAGAGGUUGUAGACAUAAUGCAGUAGUUGGUCUUUAAAGCCAACUGCUCUUUAUUUUUGUUAUAAAAUGAUUAUUAUAGUGUUGCUCGACUUUUUCAUCAUUUCAACAUUUUAUCAUUAAAAUCCACAUUCUAUA
Molecule: RNA transcript, 4044 nt
Organism: Centropristis striata (black sea bass)
Lineage: Eukaryota; Metazoa; Chordata; Actinopteri; Perciformes; Serranidae
Gene: mif
Gene name: macrophage migration inhibitory factor
Exons: 7
Source: RefSeq, a predicted model, not a curated record